Non-coding RNA from Maylandia zebra (zebra mbuna), 196 nucleotides. NCBI's taxonomy places the organism in Eukaryota, Metazoa, Chordata, Actinopteri, Cichliformes, Cichlidae. The record is from RefSeq and is a predicted model, not a curated record.
GCUGUUGUCUGGUUUCCAGAGGAGGCUGUCCAGGACAGGAAGUGUGUACUGCACGUACUUACCUGUCAGCUCCAUAACUGUGGUCUCCCUGGGAGACACCAGCUCGGCCCAGCCUCCUCCUCCUGCUCCCAUCAUGCACCUGGGUGAGUGGGCUCUGAGCAGCAAGCAGAGGUGCGCUGUGGGACAGGUCAAAGGU